This 444-nucleotide ribosomal RNA is filed under the name uncultured bacterium. RNAcentral describes it as "bacterial SSU rRNA". It matches the Rfam family "Bacterial small subunit ribosomal RNA", at positions 50 to 507 of the family's 1533-position model. The record is from RNAcentral.
UACACAUGCAAGUCGAACGGUGAACCAGAGCUUGCUCUGGGGAUCAGUGGCGAACGGGUGAGUAACACGUGGGCAACCUGCCCCAGACUCUGGGAUAACCUCGGGAAACCGAUGCUAAUACCGGAUACGACCACUUCGGACAUCCGACGGUGGUGGAAAGUUUUUCGGUCUGGGAUGGGCCCGCGGCCUAUCAGCUAGUUGGUGGGGUAAUGGCCUACCAAGGCGACGACGGGUAGCCGGCCUGAGAGGGCGACCGGCCACACUGGAACUGAGACACGGUCCAGACUCCUACGGGAGGCAGCAGUGGGGAAUAUUGCACAAUGGGCGAAAGCCUGAUGCAGCGACGCCGCGUGAGGGACGACGGCCUUCGGGUUGUAAACCUCUUUCAGCAGGGACGAAGCGAAAGUGACUGUACCUGCAGAAGAAGCACCGGCUAACUACGUG